GGAAGUAAAAGUCGUAACAAGGUUUCCGUAGGUGAACCUGCGGAAGGAUCAUUCACAAUGAGUGUUUUAUGGCACUCUUUAAAAAUCCAUAUCCACCUUGUGUGCAAUGUUUGUUGGGAGAGAGGCAACUCUUUCCCUUCACAAAUAUCAACCUAUAUCUUUAACAACAUUCGUCUGAUAACAUAUUAUGAAUAUACUUAAUUCAAAAUAUAACUUUCAACAACGGAUCUCUUGGCUCUCGCAUCGAUGAAGAACGCAGCGAAAUGCGAUACGUAAUGUGAAUUGCAGAAUUCAGUGAAUCAUCGAAUCUUUGAACGCAUAUUGCGCUCUUUGGUAUUCCGAAGAGCAUGCUUGUUUGAGUAUCAGUAAACACCUCAACCUCCUCUUGUUUUUUCAAAAGGAGGGUGGACUUGAGCUAUCCCAACAACCUUCACCGGUAGGCGGGCGGCUUGAAAUGCAGGUGCAGCUGGACUUUUAUCUGAGCUAAAAGCAUAUCUAUUUAGUCCUCGUCAAACAGGAUUAUUACUAUUGCUGCAGCUAACAUAAAGGAUAAUUGUCCUCAUUGCUGACUGAUGCAGGAUUUUACGACACUUUAUGUGUUGUUCAACUCGAUCUCAAAUCAAGUAAGACUACCCGCUGAACUUAAGCAU
RNAcentral lists this ribosomal RNA (650 nucleotides) under Mortierellales sp. DU10. RNAcentral's name for it is "eukaryotic LSU rRNA". The stretch from base 212 to 365 matches the Rfam family "5.8S ribosomal RNA". The record is from RNAcentral. Lineage: Eukaryota; Fungi; Mortierellomycota; Mortierellomycetes; Mortierellales.